Molecule: long non-coding RNA, 174 nt
Organism: Solanum stenotomum
Lineage: Eukaryota; Viridiplantae; Streptophyta; Magnoliopsida; Solanales; Solanaceae
Exons: 3
Source: RefSeq, a predicted model, not a curated record
CAGCAGCAGGCACAUCUCUGUUAGCAAAAAUGGUAUCUUGAUCCUUAAGAACCUCACGAGCUAAUGCUGGGGAAGUAAUAAUAAUCCCAAGUUUUUUACCAAGCCAGAGUCUACAAAUGGGGCCAUAAGUUUGGGACAGAGAUGCAAAAUAGGUAUGAAGUUCAGGAUCAAGAG